AUCCCUAGCCUGGUAUACGAUUCGUGUGUUUGGUUUCAUGGCUCUUCACACAGAGUACGGUUGCAAUAAACGCACCUUGAGUCCGCAAAGGUUUUCGCCGAUGAGAAAAUAGACCGCGACCAAAAAAGGAAAUGGUGACCAAUCUGAAGAAGCAUCUCGUUCAUUUGAUAGCAAAGAUCAUGGAAAAUUUUUGCCUCUAGAAUUGUAUAGGCGUCUGGCUGAAGAAAUCGCUAGAGGUUUAGGCUUAGGUGAUCAAUCUGAAGAAUAAUCACAUUAAUUCGACAAUGAAUAUCAAGAAAAAUUUUAUUUUUGGUGGUGAAAUUGUUGAGCGAAUAGUUUAGCUCUUUUUCCCGACAGUACAGAUGACGAUUCGAUAAUGACGGAUUCAGACAACGAAUUUUGAUUUGA
Styela clava is the source of this 408-nucleotide non-coding RNA. NCBI's taxonomy places the organism in Eukaryota, Metazoa, Chordata, Ascidiacea, Stolidobranchia, Styelidae. The record is from RefSeq and is a predicted model, not a curated record.